ACACAGCCAAACAGGAAAUACAUCAAAUUCCGCGGGGAGUGAGCGCCGCUCCCGUCACGUCGGUGGGCCUGUCAAUCAAUCGCAGCAGCACAAUACUUUGUUAAAGCGCAUACGUCACUGUGGGCAUCGCGUGAUCUCCGGAAAUUCAAAUUCCGUAGCAGUUAAAAUGUUUCCCCGCUGUGUUUGUAUUUUUUCAACAGUCGGUGGUUUGGACAACGCUGCUCCUCUUAAAGUUGUAGUUGUAUUAAAGUUUCUUUCCCUACAGACUCCAAAGUUAUAAAACUGAGGGGGAAAUGAUGCAGGUGCGUGCCCAUCAUGAUUGUAGGGAACUGCUGCUCUGUAUGAAACAUCAGAAGUAGAGGAGGCGGAGGAGAUGACCGUUAGAAGACGUGUCGAAAGGGGGAGACGGGGUUUUAAAAUGAUGCUCUAUGGACGCCCGAAUGAGCUCGUUUUCAGAUCGAGCUCCAUCGCUGCUAACCAGAUGCACCUGCGGGAAAACAGAAAAAAAAACUCAAGUACUGGACAACAGGAGAACAAUGAGUCUGACAUCUGAGACGAGCGGCUCUUGGCUGUCCGUAUGGGGCUAGAGAAAAUCUGUUCAUGAUUAUAAAGAAAUAAAGCCCACAGUUACUCUUCAGCUUAAAAGAAGGAAAUGUGCUCUGAAGACCAGCCUUUCAUUCGGUGAGCCGUUAAAAGGCUUGGCUUCCAGACAAGAAUAUGAAUGCUGUUUUGAAGUUGUCUUGGACACAAACUGAAUUCCUCCGAUCAAAGUGAGUUUCCAACACAUUAAAGCUGAUUAAAAAGCAAUGCUGAGAUUAAUAAUCAUAAAAAGCCAAAGGAAAUAAACAAACAGAAGUCUUAAGCUCCACAGAAUAAUUAUACAAUUAAAUUCUAACAAAGGAAUGACAAUUAUGACUGAAUUAGUUAGCACAGCGAAUUUGAACUGUACAUGCACCAAUUACAUGCAUUUCAACUUGCAAAUGAUCUGUAUUGAAAGAAAUACAAUAAAGCAUUGAUAGUUUGAACUUAAGUUAUGACACCUUGUACAAGCUUGCGUGUGGGGGCAAUCACUGAUGGAUACAUCUGCCUUGUUUUGGGUUUAAUCCUGACAACCGUUUCUUUUGAAUGCCUUUCAUCAUAUUACCUACACCAUCGCCAGAACGCAUAUACACAGGUGUUGAAGGAUAACCAUAACAGUGUUGGCUGCAAUAGCCACUAUACUGACAAAGGCAGAAGGUCAUUAAAUGGGUCAAAAAAAAGAAAAAUAAUUUAGGAUAGUAUAACUUAGAAAGUUUACUGAACAAUUCAACAAUGAUGCUUUCCAGAGUUGAUCAGAGCAACAAUUUUUGUUUGUGUAAUGAGCACUGGCGCUGCUUCUAUUAUUACUAUUAUAUUACUCUGCUAA
This is a long non-coding RNA of Anguilla rostrata (American eel), 1405 nucleotides long. RefSeq lists it as uncharacterized. Lineage: Eukaryota; Metazoa; Chordata; Actinopteri; Anguilliformes; Anguillidae. The transcript has 4 exons. The record is from RefSeq and is a predicted model, not a curated record.